This 1070-nucleotide long non-coding RNA is filed under the name Apteryx rowi (Okarito brown kiwi). RNAcentral's name for it is "lncRNA (ENSARWG00000013457.1)". The record is from RNAcentral. Lineage: Eukaryota; Metazoa; Chordata; Aves; Apterygiformes; Apterygidae.
GUUUGAUAGCUUAUGUUGAAAAAAGCUUCUCUCUUGUCUUUGCCAAGGUUAUGGUGAAUACCUAAGCUUCAGUGCAGCAGGCUGUUAAACAUACCACCUUAUAAAAGUUUAUUUAGCAGAUACUUAAGUAUGUGUUUCAAUUACCAGUAAGUCAAAAAGACCUUAGUUCAAAUGUUUUAUAGAAUCUGAAUAUUACCUAGAUUCUUCUUAAUUUUGGGUUUAUUGAUCUUUCUCUUGGAAAUCCACAGGUCAAAUUCUCACUUUAUUUAUUUUAGAUCCAGAGUCACAAAUCUUUAUGGAAUUAUUCCAAUAAUAGGAUCCUUCCAGUAAUAUUGUUCCAAAAUGACUGGAAUCCUGUGUCCAAGAGUGAGGACAGAUGAGAGCAGCAUACAAUGGAGCCUCUCUGCAUUGUUAUGAUGCCCAGGACUGUAGCACUGGUGAUGGUAUACAAUGGCUAUGCUAUCACACACCAUGGAGCAAGUGACUUAGAAGGGAGGAGAAGGCUUAUCCUUCCAGGAAGUCCACCUCUGAUAUGUGAGUUGAUGAGCUCUUCUUUGGUUUCGUCAUGAAUAUUAAAGGUGUGUUCAUAGUAAACUCAUCUUUGUCAUUAGUGAAACACCUUUAUACUUCACAAAUCUCAUGAUCCUUGUUUGCACUGUAUUUUUUUUCUAAAGGCUUCAUAUGUUAUCCUGUCUCUGUAGAAGAGUUUCUGCAUACAUGCAUUAGGAGAUAAUGUCUCUCCUGAAAAGACUGAUAAUCUGUGUAGGGUUGGGAUCCUGAUACUUUCCCCCCACUCUAUGGAAGUGGAACAGAAAGGCUGUGGUUUGCCAGAAGUCUUAAGGAAAACCUUUCAGGAGAGCCAAGAACCAAGACUGGACUUCUUACCUCCCAAAUCAGUGCCUUAACCACAAAUCCAGCCAUCCCCUCUUGCUAAUGCCACGCCAACUGCAUUAUAAAUCUAGUUUGUAAGUUAUGAAGCCAGUCAGUGACAAUUAUCUGGACAGCACAAAUAUAGUAACACUGCAAACAUGUUUGUUAGGCAAUAAAAUCUUACACACCUAAGAAGCUCA